Molecule: transfer RNA, 76 nt
Filed under: Gallionellaceae bacterium
Lineage: Bacteria; Pseudomonadati; Pseudomonadota; Betaproteobacteria; Nitrosomonadales; Gallionellaceae
Description: tRNA-Arg
Rfam family: tRNA
About the family: Transfer RNA (tRNA) molecules are approximately 80 nucleotides in length. Their secondary structure includes four short double-helical elements and three loops (D, anti-codon, and T loops).
Source: RNAcentral
ACCCACGACGCCGAAUGGAUCGGCAGCGGAUUUCUACUCCGUGGAUUUGCGGGUUCGACUCCUGCCGUGGGUGCCA